UUUCGUACGCGUCUGCCCAGCCAGACUGUAUGCCCAUCUUGGAGCACACCCGGGUCAAACCUGUCAAAACGGCCAUGGCAUGACAAGACGCUGACCUCUCUGCUAAGAUUGCUGCAAAGAGCUUCUUGAAAAUGAUGGGCCUGAGAGCAGCAAUGGACUCAGAUGUGUUUGGAGUCUUAUUGCAGCCGUGGUGCUGCCGAGUUAAAGAAGUUCUCCAAGAGGGUCCUGCAUCAGAGGACAAGUAAGCAUAAUUUUAAAAUUACAGGAUUCUUGUAGGUCUGCCCACAAUGUACAAAUCGCUUGAAUCGUCACAUGCCAGCCCUGAAUGGUUUUUGCCUUGGUCUUGAAUCUCCAUGCAAUGCAAGCAUUCAGUGUGCCUUGUUGAAGUAUCAAUUACAUAACUAAUUUUUUCUACGCAAGAACUGUUAGAUGAGUCAAAUGAUCGAUUUUUCCAAUGAACUCUGCCAUGUUUCUGGUUACUGGUGGUAGAGCACUAAAUGCUAUGAAUGCUUCUAUUUCUAGAUAGACCCUGUUGCUCAUCUCAAGGGAGACUCGACUUCACUUUCAUUAUACCAAAUGCACUUUCGUAGAUGUAGCUGUCAGUCAUUUUGGGCAGGUGUCAAAGUUUUAAGGGUUCCACUCCAUGCACGGCAACAAGUGUUAUUUAAGGUUUGGGGAACAUGCUUAGUUGUGUAUGUCAGAGAUGCUGGCUCAGAUUGCAAGGAAUAGGACACAAGGGGCACAGCGAACAUAUAUUUAAACAGAAACGAGCACAAGCAAAACAAAUACAAAAACAGAGCAAGCAAAAUAGCAUACAAAGCGUCGUUAAGAAGUCAUUUCAAACAAAUGGCAUGCUUACCCAUUUGAAGAUCGAUGAA
This 878-nucleotide long non-coding RNA is filed under the name Rhipicephalus microplus (southern cattle tick). Its description in RNAcentral is "uncharacterized LOC119186497, transcript variant X1". The record is from RNAcentral. Lineage: Eukaryota; Metazoa; Arthropoda; Arachnida; Ixodida; Ixodidae.